RNAcentral lists this ribosomal RNA (298 nucleotides) under Vates amazonica. RNAcentral describes it as "partial 16S ribosomal RNA". The stretch from base 172 to 298 matches the Rfam family "Bacterial large subunit ribosomal RNA", at positions 2473 to 2600 of the family's 2925-position model. The record is from RNAcentral. Lineage: Eukaryota; Metazoa; Arthropoda; Insecta; Mantodea; Mantidae.
AUAGAUCUUAAUAUAUGUAAUAAUAUAAUUGAGUUAAAAUUUAAUUUUUGAUUAUUAUGAAAUUUAUUUAAUUGGGGUGAUUAAGAGAUAAGUAAAACUCUUUUUAAACUUUAAUAGUAUAAUUAGAUGUAUGAUCCAUAAUUAAUGAUUAAGAGAUUAAAUUACCUUAGGGAUAACAGCAUAAUUCUUUUUGAGAGUUCAUAUUGAAAAAAGAGAUUGUGACCUCGAUGUUGGAUUAAGAUUAGUUUUGGGUGCAGAUGUUCAAUAACUAGGUCUGUUCGACCUUGAAAAUCUUACA